Molecule: signal recognition particle RNA, 266 nt
Filed under: Candidatus Methylomirabilota bacterium
Lineage: Bacteria; Methylomirabilota (SeqCode)
Description: candidate division NC10 bacterium (hot springs metagenome) signal recognition particle sRNA large type
Rfam family: Bacterial large signal recognition particle RNA
About the family: The signal recognition particle (SRP) is a universally conserved ribonucleoprotein involved in the co-translational targeting of proteins to membranes. Archaeal SRP consists of a 7S RNA and homologues of the eukaryotic SRP19 and SRP54 proteins. In most bacteria, the SRP consists of a 4.5S RNA and the Ffh protein (a homologue of the eukaryotic SRP54 protein).
Source: RNAcentral
UCGUGCUAGGCGGGGAAGUAGCGGCUCCCUGAACCCGCAAUCCGCUAUAGCGGGGCGGAAUCCCCACCCGCGGCUUUGGUCUUUUCGGAAACGGCCAGCCGCCAAAGGCGUCGAAGGCCAGGUCCCACGCGACGAGGACCUGCGAACCCCGUCAGGUCCGGAAGGAAGCAGCGGUAAGCAGGAAACCGCGGGCGCCGUGGGGUAGCUUGGCCGGAGCCGGAGUCGGCCGGAACGCCCGGGAAGAGAGGUCAGAGGUGGGUGCACGG